GUAUUUUGAGCUUCGAAUUGCAUGAUUUGGUUGACUAGUUUAGGAGAUAUGCUGAAAUGAAGUUUGAUGAUGAAUGGCAUUUGUGCUCGAUUCUUGAGUUAUGUUGUGUUUUAAUGAAAAUUGAUGGUAGAUUCAUGUUAUUCAUGCUUUGCUGAUCAUUUCUGUAUAUCCAAUUUCAUUUUCUGGAAAAAAAAUUGUUGAGCUCGAUUUGGGAAAGAUGAAGUUCAUGCUGUUCAUGUAGAAACCCUAACUGUUCAUUCAUUGCCCAGAUUUU
Molecule: long non-coding RNA, 274 nt
Filed under: Lathyrus oleraceus (garden pea)
Lineage: Eukaryota; Viridiplantae; Streptophyta; Magnoliopsida; Fabales; Fabaceae
Description: Pisum sativum (pea) long non-coding RNA (PSAT_LNC006983)
Source: RNAcentral